This 1303-nucleotide long non-coding RNA is filed under the name Carica papaya (papaya). RNAcentral describes it as "long non-coding RNA (CPAP_LNC001118)". The record is from RNAcentral. Lineage: Eukaryota; Viridiplantae; Streptophyta; Magnoliopsida; Brassicales; Caricaceae.
UGGUCAUCAUCUAUGGUGCAGAGGGUGGACUGCAAGCUUUGACUCAUUAGCUGCGUCAAGCUUUGACUCAAGCUUUUUUAUUCAACUGAUGUAUGGUGAAAUCCAUGGAGUGUAGUUUAGUCUUGAUUACCCCAAUGUGCAUCAUGGUGCGGGUUAAUGAAUUCUUGAAAGUUUGGGGGUGGUGGGGUUGGUUCUUGGUGUGUUUGUUGUUCGCACAACUUGCUGUAGAUGCGUUUGUUGUGGGGUAUGAGUGGUCUUAGUGGUGCGAAACAAGGGCUGUCAUCUUUCCAUUCCAAGAGACUUAUAUUAUCUAAGGUGUGUAUGUCCAAAGGGGCUUGCAGACAAGCGAUGUGGAGGUCAGUGUCAUCGAUGUCAAACUUGGUGGAAAAAAUUACAAGUCGGGUGAUGAUUGAGACUAGGAUCAAUAGCAUGUAGAAUGACAUGAUGUUGGCAAAUUGUGAGGCAAACUAAUAUCCCAAAUUCACUCACUGUCUCUGCAUCAUGCACACAAAAAAAUAGAUCUCACUUUUGGACACGAUACUUGGUGCAUCCUUGCAUCCUGAAAAAGAGUACGUGAGGAACCAGUGGAUGUACUUCAUUCAUGGGUCAUGCAGGUAAAGGUCUUUUGAUUUAUCGGGGUCGUAGGGGUCUGGGUGGUUAGUGCACAGUUCAUUAUAGAUAGUUACAAGGUUGAAAUCAUCAUAAAAAUUUCAAUAUGGAUACGUGUAUUUGGGGUCAUCAAAUCCUAGGGCUGUGUUGAACUAGGCAACGACGAGGUUGAACUGUUGCCCUCUCAGUUUGUAGGAAAUAAGUGGGAGUGUUGAGGAUGAAAUAUGAGGGUUUCUAGAAUUUAAAACUUGAGUAGGAUUUCCUAACGAGUUCUAUGUAGGCAAAUAUAUCUAUGAUAAAGUAAUUUUCCCAACCGAUGAAAUAGAGAAGCCUGUGCACACCAUUGUAGAUGCCCAAGGUUCUCAAAAUAGGGUCGUGAACAGACUUAUCUAGGAUUAUAUGUAGUUUGUGGCCACAUCAUAAUGUGCCUUCUCCUCUUUGUUCUCAAAUGUGAGGUGCCCUUGAAGUUUGGACUCCAAAGGUUGGUGGAGAGGUUGACCUCGUCAAACUCUGGCCCUCUUUGGUGGCUGUGUGAAGGGUUCUUCUUCUUCAGCAGUUGUAUUGGUAAGGGUUAAUGAUAUAAAUGCUUGGUUGUUCGAGGUUAGAGGAGAGUCAAGGAUGUCAAUGACUGGGUUGUGAAUCUUCGAUUUGGAACUCAAGGGGUUAGCAGUAUUUGGAGAAGACUACUCUCGUG